UCGGGUACAGGGCCUUUAAUACAGAAACACAACACACUAACAUUAUGGUGUUAUUACAGUGGACCCACCUGUUCCCACUUGUGCUGAAGGAUAUUAUCUGCCGAAGUAUGUUUCCCCAACACCCAGAGACGGAGAGGUCAUUCUGGCAGAAGCUGGAAAAGAAGUAGAGAUAAAAGUCAAGGCUGAAGCUCUUUAUUCACAAGUUGACGACCUUAUAAUGACCGGGCCACUGAAUAUCACCAAGCACAAAACCACUGGAGAUGAGUUCACCAUCAGAUGGACUCCUAUUCCUGAAGACAUCGGACACUAUUUUCCAAUCUGCUUUGCUGUUGAAUUUAAAAAUGGAUCUUCCGUUUACCAAACUGAGAUGAGAUGUGUGCUGGUGAAUGUUACAAAGACUCU
Long non-coding RNA from Boleophthalmus pectinirostris (great blue-spotted mudskipper), 402 nucleotides. RefSeq lists it as uncharacterized. The record is from RefSeq and is a predicted model, not a curated record. The transcript has 3 exons. Lineage: Eukaryota; Metazoa; Chordata; Actinopteri; Gobiiformes; Gobiidae.